CCUACGGGAGGCAGCAGUGGGGAAUAUUGCACAAUGGGGGAAACCCUGAUGCAGCGACGCCGCGUGAGGGAAGAGGUAUCUCGGGACGUAAAGCUCUAGCAGCAGGGAAGCUAAUGACGGUACCUGACCAAGAAGCCCCGGCUAACGACGUGACAGCAGCCGCGGGAAUACGGAGGGCGCAAGCGUUAUCCGGAUUUACUGGGUGUAAAGGGAGCGUAGGCGGCAGCACAAGUCUGGAGUGAAAGCCCGGGGCUUAACCCCGGAACUGCUUUUGAAACUGUGCGGCUGGAGUGCAGGAGGGGUAAGCGGAAUUCCGGGUGUAGCAGUGAAAUGCGUAGAUAUUAGGAGGAACACACGUGGCGAAGGCGGCUUACUGGACUGUAACUGACGUUGAGGCUCGAAGGCGUGGGGAGCAAACGGGAUUAGAUACCCUGGUAGUC
RNAcentral lists this ribosomal RNA (440 nucleotides) under uncultured bacterium. RNAcentral describes it as "partial 16S ribosomal RNA". It matches the Rfam family "Bacterial small subunit ribosomal RNA", at positions 338 to 795 of the family's 1533-position model. The record is from RNAcentral.